This 120-nucleotide ribosomal RNA is filed under the name Musa acuminata subsp. malaccensis (wild Malaysian banana). Lineage: Eukaryota; Viridiplantae; Streptophyta; Magnoliopsida; Zingiberales; Musaceae. The record is from RNAcentral.
GGGUGCGAUCAUACCAGCACUAAAAGCACAGGAUCCCAUCAGAACUCCGAAGUUAAGCUUGCUUGGGCGAGAGUAGUACUAGGAUGGGUGACACCCUGGGAAGUCCUCGUGUUGCACUUC